RNAcentral lists this ribosomal RNA (328 nucleotides) under uncultured bacterium. RNAcentral's name for it is "bacterial SSU rRNA". It matches the Rfam family "Bacterial small subunit ribosomal RNA", at positions 180 to 507 of the family's 1533-position model. The record is from RNAcentral.
GCAGUUUCGCAUAGAAACCAUAUUAAAGUCACAACGGCAAAAGAUGAGCAUGCGUCCCAUUAGCUUGUUGGUAAGGUAACGGCUUACCAUGGCUACGAUGGGUAGGGGUCCUGAGAGGGAGAUCCCCCACACUGGUACUGAGACACGGACCAGACUCCUACGGGAGGCAGCAGUGAGGAAUAUUGGUCAAUGGACGCAAGUCUGAACCAGCCAUGCCGCGUGCAGGAUGACGGUCCUAUGGAUUGUAAACUGCUUUUGUACGAGAAGAAACAACAUUACGUGUAAUGUCUUGACGGUAUCGUAAGAAUAAGGAUCGGCUAACUCCGUG